This 973-nucleotide long non-coding RNA is filed under the name Equus asinus (donkey). RNAcentral's name for it is "lncRNA (ENSEASG00005034222.1)". Lineage: Eukaryota; Metazoa; Chordata; Mammalia; Perissodactyla; Equidae. The record is from RNAcentral.
GUCUAAUCGGAAUCCCUUCAACUGCAGAGCGCCUGCCUCCUUCCGUAAUUGUCCAUACGUCUGUCUCACCACUAGACGACUAAUUCCUGUGUGUCUCCAGUGCCUAGGAUCUGGCAUCUGGUAGACAUUCGAUAAAUGAUUACUCAAUGAAUGAAUGAGUGAGUAUUGCAGUAUGGCCAACCUUCACACAAGCAGGAACAGUUACUUCAUGCACGGCUAAAAACUUUUUAAAAAUCUCAUCUAAAAUGCACACUUGUAAUAAAAAUUUCAAAUAAUAUGCAAGCAUAUAAUUGAGAAAUUGGAAAUUUCUACCCACUUCAAUCUCAUUCCCCAUAGUUGGCCACUGUUAACACUUUGGCGUCACUCUUAAUUUUUCUCUCCAUCUUAUAAACAAUACAGGAAGCUACAACUAUCAAGCUGGAGUAAAUUAGUCUUCUUUCCAGCCCAAUGCCUCAAUCACUGCCACCUUCCAUUGCUUGGCAACAUCGGGGAUUGUCAAGAUCAUUGGCCUCAGGCCACAGACUGGAAGAUCAAUGAUGCUGGAGCCUCCAAGGGAACACCAGGGAAGCUGGAGCACCACGAGGCACUCUCGGUUGAAUAGCACGUUGAUGAGCCUGCUCCCACACGCUACAUAAUGGUCCUUUCACUGUGCUGCGUUCUGAGAAGAUCACUUGGCUUUUCUAAGUCUCCAAUAAAUGUGGAUGGCACAGACACAGUCCAGACCUCAAUAGAGAGGAACAGGCAGACCCAGAGAGCUUCCCCAGCAAGUGACCAGAGCCGGCGUGGCCCUGGGAGGACAAGGCAGAGGUCCAGGUUCUGGAGGAGGCUCCCUGCAUUGGCCGCUGCGACUGUACCGAGACAGGAGCUCAGAGGCAUUCUUGCCCCUCCCCUUCUCACAAUAGCUUUUAUAAGAUGCUUUACUGCAAAGGUAAUCAGUCAUAUUUGUUGCAGAAAAAUAUGCAUAAUCUUAAAA